Molecule: ribosomal RNA, 133 nt
Filed under: uncultured bacterium
Lineage: Bacteria
Description: partial 16S ribosomal RNA
Rfam family: Bacterial small subunit ribosomal RNA
Source: RNAcentral
GAGGAAUAUUGGACAAUGGGCGGGAGCCUGAUCCAGCCAUGCCGCGUGCAGGAUGACGGCCCUAUGGGUUGUAAACUGCUUUUAUACGGGAAGAAAUGCGCCCACGUGUGGGCGUCUGACGGUACCGUAAGAA